Molecule: non-coding RNA, 8030 nt
Organism: Equus caballus (horse)
Lineage: Eukaryota; Metazoa; Chordata; Mammalia; Perissodactyla; Equidae
Source: RefSeq, a predicted model, not a curated record
UCUUUACAGUAAAUGGAGCCAUCCAGAGGUGCUCCCACAUGGAAGUAUCCAGCACUAUCGCAAGGUUUAUAAAGUUCAAAGUGUAGCAUUUCACAGGGUUAAUUGCACUGCAGCAUUUGAUCCAACAUUUGGAGCCAUACUGUAGGCUCCACCUGGGGACCAGGUGUUGGAUGCGUUGGAGACAUUGCUAGAAGAAUCAGCUAUUGAUCAAGGGUUAGAUACUCAGUGCAUUGGGAGUUUAUUUGUAGAUAAAACAGUGAGGUUUUCUUCUCACGCUGCUGAAAAUACAUAACAACUGGAGCCAGACCCCCAAUCAAACCUGGAAUAAAAACCUGCAAGCAUCUUCACUAGCACAAGAGGAGUUGUAAUGCAAAUCUUGGCCCCCCUUGUCUGGGUCCUCCUCUCUCUAUUCUCUCCCAAGCUAGAGGGAGGUAAUAGAAUAAUGUAACAGUUCCUUGUGACUGGCGAGUGUAGUCUCAGUACUAUUUAGCAUAGCAGAGAUGCUCUGUUAAGACAGAGUUGUAUUAUUUUAUUUAUUCUGGGUUUCCAUAAAACUAUGUAAAGAAAUGGACAAGGCCCAUAUUUGAACCAGUAGGUAAAGCCUUAAGAAUGUACAACAUGCAUGUGUGUGUGACUGUGCUUAUGUGUUAGAGAAACAGAGUGAAUAGGACAAAAGAAGGGGGUAACUGGUUUAAUAAGGGACAUUUGCAAAGAGAAUUCUAAGUGCUCAAGCCCAAUAUUUCCUUCUGACCACUGACCAUCCCUUGGGUCUUCCUUGGACAUCUCCACUGUGGUGUGCCUUCACACAGCAUUCACGGUCCUGUGGGCUCUCGCCUCCUUGCCUGUCAGUUCCCACUGUUACCUGCUUUUCCAUCACACCAAACCUUUAAUGGUUUCCUGGGAGAGGCACAGCCCGCACAUCAUCACUCCUUUUCUGUGCUUUCCUCUCUGCCUGGAAAGUCCCUCUUCAUUUCUCUGUCUCUGUAGCACUUGUCACAUGGGACCUAUUUCCUCUUCACCCUGAACUAAGCAGGGAGACCAUUGAGGGCCUGGACAGUGUCAUGGUUAUCCUUGGAUACUUGGUACCUAGUAGAUAAAUACCCCAAAAGCACUUAGGACAAGAGGGCUAGCAGGACUGCUGGGGGCUUCUCCUCAUUCUGUUCAGCCAUAGUCUCAGUUCACGGGAGAGCAGGCUCCUGGGUGGUUCACCCGUACCGUUUUGCCAACAUAGACAAAGUUCUUAACUAAUAUUUCUGAAUUCAAGAAAUUACUUAAGCACCUCAGAUAGUGCCUGGAAUAAGGUAGAGACCUGAUAAACAUAGAACCAAUGAAUGAAGAAAAGCCAACCAGUGAAACAGCAAUCACACUCAUCACCAAAUGGAAUUUUUUCUUUUUCUAUGUUAAAUCACCUCCUUCAAGGUGGCUGACUUCAUGAUGCAUUGCAAAUCUCAGCCUUCAAAAUAAAGUGCUAAACUUCGAGGUAGCAUUUUGGAAAAGCUGACUUUUAUAUUUGUGCAGGGUUAUAUGUUUAAGUACAUUGAGUUUCAAAUUAGAAAAAAAAAACCAAUAUGAAUAAACAAAUAGUGCAGUAGUGCAAUCCUUAGUGUGACUGCCAUCAAGAUAUUGACCUGAGAAUUAGGCUGAAUGCACAUUGUCAACUAUAAUAUGUUACAUCCUUGCUGAUCAUAUGAUCCAGAAAAGAACUGUGGCACAGGAAAACAAGUUACUUCUCUUGGCAAAUCUGAAAUUUCAUAUCCUCCAAGAUAUACUUUAAUACUUUUCCCUGUAAGAAACAAAUCUGAUUGAAAUCUUUCUUGACCCUAUGGAGUUGUAACCUACUGGAGAAAGUUGACCUACUUUUUAUGUGAUUCUGUACUACCACUUCUUUAGAAGAUGAUCUGUGCCAGAUAAGAAAGGUAUUUCUGUACUAAUCCACUUGUGCUCCAAGACAUUCUUUAAAAUAAGGGUAAGUCUUUGGUUUAGGAAGAGGAGACAAAAAUAGUUCAUCAAAACAAAACAUGAAACAUCUUCUGUAACUUCACUACUUAUUAAUAACUUGCAUUUUUUGGCCAGGUUAUUAGCUUAUAAACCAGAGAAGGACACAGACUCCAUUUAUGCUCAAUAAUGAUGCCAGUGAAAGCUGCGGGACCCUGAUGUCAAUGCCACAAUGGAGAUCUAUGUCAUUGACUUUCUUGUAAAAAAAAUAGAACAUGUGUAUUUUUCGCAUCUCAUGCUAUCCAAAUACAAUUGUUUGUGUGGUUGAGCUCAUACUAUAUAUAAAAUUCUGUAGUGUUUUGAAGAUUUUUAUUUUUAAAUAAUCUGAGAAUCAUAGGAAGUUGUGAAGAUGGUACAGAGAGGUCUAUGUAGUCUUCACUCAGUUCCCCUCAAUGGUUACAUCAUAUCUAACUAUGGUUCAAUUUCAAACCAGGAAACUAACAUUUGAACAAUGUGUGUGUAGAGCCCUAACCCAUUUUAUCACUGGUGUAUUUUUGUUUAACCACCACCACAAUCAAGAUACAGAACUGUUCUGUUACACGCAGGCCUUUCUUGUGCUAUUCCUUUAGCCCCACACCUGUGUCCCUCUCCUUACCAUUCCUAAACCCUGGCAACUAGCAAGCUGUUCUCCAUCUCUGUACUUUGGUCAUUUCAAGAAUGUUAUGUAAAUGGAUGCAUAUAUUAUGUGAAUUUUUAACAUCUUUUUAAUCAGCAUAAUGCCUCUGUGUGUAGUUGGGCCACACUUAUUUAAUCCACUCUCUCAAUCUCUGUCUUUUAAUUGGUAUAUUCAGGCCAUUUACAUUUAAUGUAAGCUCACAUGAUGAAGCCUAAACCAAGGACUCAGCAGUCAGGAGAUGGGAUCUGUUAUCAAAGUCCUUACCAAAAACCCCUUGAGGGGGCUGAGGGAGGAAUAGUUUGCAGGCAUCAUCCAGGACUCCAUUAAGUCAGGAAAUGGAAUAGUUAGUUAAGAGAAGGACACUGCAAGGGAAAUGUAAGGGAAUGUGGCUUACCUUGGGAGGGAGUCCAUAGAGGUCAGGGUAGAAGUUUGUGAGGGCGCAGGGCAGGUGAGUUAAGAGAGAAGAGAAGCUGGAAGGUGAGGAGGUGACCAGACAUGCUUGCCUCAUCUCACUGCAGCUCCGUGAAGGAAGGGUGCAGCCUGGCGGGCCACAUCCGUCCCCAGCAGGAUGGAUGAGCCUGCGAAUGUGCAUUGGUAUCCCCAGGUUUGUAGGUAAUCUUCCAUCAGUCUGUACAAAAGCCUCAUGAGAUAUAUGGCUAAAUUGUUCCCACUUACAGAAAGAAGAGAGAUGGAAGGAAAUUCCUAAUUCAGAGUUAAGAGGAGGGAAAUCUGAGUGUCUAAAUUGAAGUUCUGCUGCUCAUUUUCUCAGUUUUCAGGGUGUCUAGGGAGAAGAGUCUUAGGAAUGUCCUCCAACAAAAGAGAAGGUCAAACAAUUAAAAAAAGGGUAAGUGUUGAAAAUAUGAACCAAAGAUUUCCUAGUGAGGAUGGAAGAGAAAGAACCUCUCUGGAAUUCUUUUAAAUGAAGGGAAAACACAACUGCAGUGACAUCUGAAAAAGAGUCCAAGGCAGAUGUAAAAGAAGCGGAUAUCAGAAACAGAAAUAAACAGGAGUGACAAGUUCGAAGUAACUCUGUCCUGAGAGGAGGUAAGAACAUCGUAAAGGGAUCCACUGUCUCCCUCACGGGUCGGCCUGCGAGGCUGACGAGCUGCUCCUCAGUGCGCCUGCGUGCAUCUGCCGCGUGGCGCCUGGGUUGGGAUCCCAGCAAUGGGAGGUUCCAUCCUUAUCGGUCAGUUCUGCAAAGUUGUUUUGAGGCAGCGGCAAACAAUGGCAUAGAACAAAAAAGCCUUUUAUCUCCCUGCGUUUUGGAGAUGAAAUAAAGCGUGGUUUGUGGGAAAUAUGCGCUGGUGGCACCAGUGACAACACAAGAGCAGUUAACACGAGGCGCUUCCAUUUCCUUACCUAGGGCGCAUGGGGGAGGAUGAUGAGGGUCGUCCUUCAGGUGCGACAGCCUCACCUAGGAGCGCCGCACGGCUCCACCUUUAUGAGGAAGAGGAUGGUGGGGGCAGUGCAGAGGGAGGACCGGAAAGGGAAACCAACUCCACAACGGCUCACCUGAGCCUCUUGGCCUCGGUUUUCUCGCUGCAGAUGGCAGUCAUCUCUUUCCCAGGCCGUUGGAGGAUGCAGUAGGAACGUCGCAGUGGUUUAGGAACUGUCAGACACGUGGCCACGCUCUGAGUGUGUUCCUUGCACGUUCUCUAGCUGAAGCUGCUGCUGCUCGCAUAAAGCCGAGCUCAUGCAAGGUUGGAGUGUUGCGGAAAUCCGCGCUAAGCUCAGGAGAUCCAGCUCCGUUUCACGGCAGACCUUUUGAAAAUUGCCAGGAGGCAAAUGUAGGUCUGAGGCCAAUUUGGAGGGUUUGCUCUAAAAUAGUACGUUUAUUUAUACCUGAAUUUGAAAAUUGUCUUUGUGCAACGGUCGCUCGCUAUCAGCCCAGAGCUGGCUUUCCACCCAGGCCUCGAGAGUGUAAUCAGCUGUUUGGGUUUCUCAUUCUGUGGUGAGUUUGUGAGUCCUGCCACACCGGAGUGAAAGGAAAUAUUUCUUCUAAGAUGUUAAAUUCCCACCCAAGUAAGCCGAUCAUCUCCCCAAACCUAAGGAUGUGUUUCAUUUAUUUGAGAAUGAAUCAUUCCAUUUCCCCUGGGAACUCGGGGUCUCUUCCCCGGGGUGCCUGGCCUGGCAGCUGAGGGGCGGUUGGGUCGUGUGUCUUCCCGAAGACUCCCUAACUGACACCUUGCAGCCCUGCGUGCCUGUCCUCGCUGGGGAUGGAUGGUGGCACCCAGGACUUUAAUAUUUUUUAACUUACUGAGUCCAAUUACCCUGCGGGCAGUUGAAAAGAUCUCACAAAGUUUAUUUCCUCCCUCCCCCUCGAACCCUCAAGAAAAAAAAAGAAAUCAUACCGAUGUUUAAAAAGGAAGCAAACAACCUUUUCUGAUGUCCUUUGAACUCCUGCUGGAUUAAUGCCCCACUGGCCUGUUUGAUUCACCAUUCUCCUACGAGCCAGAAGCAGUGUGCCCACUGUCCAUGGCUGAGGUGUCCACCUGUUGUGAGGCCAGCAAUGGUGCCAAGUGCAGCAGUGUGGGCUGCCCCACAGUCAAGUGCACAUCCCACAAGCCUUUUGUAUUAAGACCUAGUAGCCUUUAGGCCUCCAGAACAAUGGCUGCAAUGUGGAUUCAUUUCCUACAGCUGCUGGAACAAAUUAUACAAACUGGAUGGUGUAAAACCACAGAAAUUUAUUCUUUCACAGUUCUAGAGGCCCAAAGCCCCAAAACAAGGUGUUUGCAGGGCCAUGUUGCCCACAAAGGCUCUGGGGAACGAUCCUUCCUGGCCUCUUCCAGCUUCUGGUACUUGCCGGCAAUCCUUGAUGUCCCUUGGCUUGUGGCUGCAUCACUGUGGUCUCCGUCUCCCUCUUAACACCGUCUUCUCCAUGUGCGGCUGUGUCUUCAUAUGGCACUCUCCUCUUGUCUCUGUGUCCAAAUUUCCCUCUUCUUAUAGGACACCAGUCAUUGGAUCUAGGGCUGACCCUAACCCAGAGGGACCUCAUCUUGAUUAUAUCUACAGAGACCCUAUUUCCAAAUAAGGUCACAUUCCGAGGUUCUGGGUGAUGUGAAUUUGGGGGGACACUAUCCAACCCAGGACCCAACACUCCGAAGCAGAGCGAGGGCCCAGCAGGCUCAGCCCCUCCGGCUGCAGGUCAUCGCCAAUGUGACGAGCACGGUGCAAGAAAGGACUCUGCCUUCUCGCCCCUGGCUGAGGCAUGAAACAAUUCUUGGUACUAAAUAUGGUACAGGUUCAUUACACAAACACUUAUCAAGAGCUUACUGUGUGUCUGCCGUUUUGCCAGGCGACACGGAGGAUACAGCAGUGCCUGAAAUGCAGUCCUUGGCCUCGGUGGAUUUUCACCAUUUCCCUUAAUGAACUUCAUUCCACUAGUAACAGUAAAACGAGCAGUGAUGAGAGGCAUUCUUUGACAGUUCUUCCAAUUACUAAGAUUUGCGGUUUGGUCACACGUAGCCACAAAAAAAUGCCCUAAAUUAAUAAUUUUUUUAAAGUAUCAAUUUGUAUCUUUUGAAAUAUAAAAUAUGUUUCUUUCGAAAUACUGGGCCCAUUGAAAUAGCAGUUCUGAGAAUGAAAGGGUGAAGCACAGUAAAAUUCUAAUUGGUCCUUUUGUCUCAAAGUAUUUGGAGUGAGAUGAUCGGGGAAACGAUAUUACUAAAUACAAUAUUUUGAAAUAUCAUGCCCCUUCAUUUCAUGCAAUAAAAAGGAAAGAUAAAGUUACAAAUCUGAAGUUAUAUCAGGAAAAAAAUAGUCUCUGAAAAUAGCAAAAGAAUCCCAGGGUAAUGGCCCACCAUUUGGGUAGUAUCCCAAAUUCUUGCAAAAAGACAGAAAGGAAACAUGUGUCAGUAGAAACUCUCCCAAUUAUUAAGCUUCUUAGCUCCUUAUUAGAUUGAAUAACUAGAAAACAAGUUAAUGUUAAUAGUAUCUUUUGAUUAGACCUGAAAUCUUGUGCAUUGCUCACAACGCUUGGCCAUUCAGAAUCAUGUUUGUAGAAGUGACUCAAAUUCAUGUAAAUCAUGUUCAUAUAAAUUUUGUCUCCAUCCCUCUUCUCCUUCCCAUCUUCUUUCCUUCUUUCCUUCCCCUCCCUUCUCUCCUUCUUCCUUUUCUCUUGAUUAUAUUUUUCUUCAAUUUGCCUUUUUUUUUUUCAGUUAUGCUUAGGCCUGCCCACAGCCUCUGCAGUCGUUAACAGUUCUUAGUCCCACAGGUAACUCAAGGCUAGGGAGAGUCACCUAGCCCAGCGCUUCUCAAAGUCAGUAUGCCCACAAGCGACCUGCACUGCCUUGUGCAAAUGCAGACCUUGUCAGUAGGCCUGGAGUGAGCCCGCGAGUCCACGUUCCUGACCAGCUCCUGGUGUGUGGGCCACACAGAGCGAGGAAGGAGAUCCCUCGGUGAGAUUCCCCGGCACCUUUGUGAUGUUCAGGUACAUUUCCUUUCCCUUCAAUGUAGAGAAGACACCAAAGAGGUAACCGGGCGAGGGGAAGGGGUGAAGUCCCAGAAUUGGGGGAUGUGUGGGGGGGAAAGAGGUAGGAUUCGGAGGAUGUGACAGCACAGUCCUGAACGAAGUGAGGAGGGAGCUUCCUGGCUGGGUUUGCUUCCCUCCAGGUUGAGAAUCCAACAGAUGACCAGCCGAGGGGACGAAAUGGACAGUUACCAGGCAAGGCCUUCAGAAACCUCUAGAUGCGGGACGCAGAGUGUUCUCGGGACUCACGCACAUACCAUCAGAUUGGUGGGCUCCAUGCUCGCACUUCCCGUUGCCGUUUUAACCAUUCUCUGAUCUUGUCCGGAUUUUGAACAUCUCUCAGAGGAGAGGGGCAUUUCCUGGGACCAACAAACAUCCAAAUUAACCAUUGCCAGACCACCCACCAUGAUUCAUGCUAAGGUCACUUAGCGAACAAAGAAGAAAGACUGAAAAAGCCAAUUCACUGCUGCCAAGGAGGGUGUGUGCAAGGAGCUGCACAGUAUGAACACCAAAGCUUCAACGUGAGUCAUCACUGAUUCACCACCUUCAUUUUCUUCUUGAUGCUUAAAUUGUGUUCUCAAAGGCCAGCUCCUCCGAAACAACAGAUCCAAACUGCUGGCAACAUUUACAGCCUGUGGCAUUUCAGUUGAAGUGACAGAGCCAUACUUAAACAUUGGAAAUUGAAAAUAAUCUCUUCAAAUGACAGAUCCUUGCCUUUUGUUACAACGACCAUGUCCUUUAUAUUUCUUUACUUUAGGACUUUCUCUUCAUGUUAACAAUCAAGUGAUUACCAUAUUAAGGUUGCUGCAGUGUGCAAAUGGUUAUAAAAUAAAUGCAAACAAUAAUAAAUAUUCUUAUUGCUCUUCUUGUUACUAUUCCAAUAGUGGUAAAUCUGGGCCAUUCUUGACUGCUAUACAAGAAACAAGGUGAGACGAAAAGGAAGUCCUCGAC